GAUGCAGUCGAGCGGUAAGGCCCUUCGGGGUACACGAGCGGCGAACGGGUGAGUAACACGUGAGCAACCUGCCCCUGACUCCGGGAUAAGCGGUGGAAACGCCGUCUAAUACCGGAUACGACCCGCCACCUCAUGGUGGAGGGUGGAAAGUUUUUCGGUCAGGGAUGGGCUCGCGGCCUAUCAGCUUGUUGGUGGGGUAACGGCCUACCAAGGCGAUUACGGGUAGCCGGCCUGAGAGGGCGACCGGCCACACUGGGACUGAGACACGGCCCAGACUCCUGCGGGAGGCAGCAGUGGGGAAUAUUGCGCAAUGGGCGAAAGCCUGACGCAGCGACGCCGCGUGGGGGAUGACGGCCUUCGGGUUGUAAACCUCUUUUACCACCAACGCAGGCUCCCAGUUCUCUGGGGGUUGACGGUAGGUGGGGAAUAAGGACCGGCUAACUACGUGCCAGCAGCCGCGGUAAUACGUAGGGUCCGAGCGUUGUCCGGAAUUAUUGGGCGUAAAGAGCUCGUAGGCGGCGUGUCGCGUCUGCUGUGAAAGACCGGGGCUUAACUCCGGUUCUGCAGUGGAUACGGGCAUGCUAGAGGUAGGUAGGGGAGACUGGAAUUCCUGGUGUAGCGGUGAAAUGCGCAGAUAUCAGGAGGAACACCGGUGGCGAAGGCGGGUCUCUGGGCCUUACCUGACGCUGAGGAGCGAAAGCAUGGGGAGCGAACAGGAUUAGAUACCCUGGUAGUCCAUGCCGUAAACGUUGGGCGCUAGGUGUGGGGACUUUCCACGGUUUCCGCGCCGUACUAACGCAUUAAGCGCCCCGCCUGGGGAGUACGGCCGCAAGGCUAAAACUCAAAGGAAUUGACGGGGGCCCGCACAAGCGGCGGACAUGUUGCUUAAUUCGACGCAACGCGAAGAACCUUACCAAGGUUUGACAUCACCCGUGG
This 936-nucleotide ribosomal RNA is filed under the name Nocardiopsis sp. EGY22. Its description in RNAcentral is "bacterial SSU rRNA". It matches the Rfam family "Bacterial small subunit ribosomal RNA", at positions 54 to 996 of the family's 1533-position model. Lineage: Bacteria; Bacillati; Actinomycetota; Actinomycetes; Streptosporangiales; Nocardiopsidaceae. The record is from RNAcentral.